ACCGCCCCAGGACCCUGUCCGCAGGAGCAGCACAGCAGGCAGCUGCAGGGCAGUGGGAGGAGCUGUCGAGUCAGCUCUUCUACUACGGAGGGGAACUGCAGAGCCAGAAGAGCACGGAGCAGCAACUCGCAGCCCAAUUGGUGACGCUGCAGAAUGAACUGGAGCUGGCGGAGACCAAAUGCGCCUUGCAGGAGGAGAAGCUGCAGCAGGACGCGCUGCAGACAGCGGAGGCCUGGGCCAUAUUCCAGGAGCAGACCGUAGUCCUGCAGGUGCGGCCCCACUCAGACGCCAAGGUGCCUCCCGCCUCUCCUCCCCCAGACCUGGGGCGGUAAGUCUCCCAACCCACCGCCAGGACGCCUCCCCGAGGCCUCAGUCCGCACUCUCACCCGCUCCAGGAGGUGCAGGUGAAGGUGAUGGAGGCUGCGGAGGAGCUGGACGCCUGGCAGAGUGGCCGGGAACUGUGUGACGGGCAGCUUCGCAGAGUGCAGUACAGCACCGAGUCGCUCAUGGAGGAGAUGGCCAGGGCGGACCGAGAGACGCGGCUGUUCGGCGGUCCUCGCGCGCUGGCCAUCAGGCGCUGCUGACGCUGCCGCUCCUCUUCCUGGGGCUGUCGCUGCUCUGGACGGUGCUGUUGGACCCCGGCGCCGUCUCCGCGUGGCUCUGGAGCCUCACCUCGGAGACGACGCUGCGCCGCCUGCGCUACACGCUGUCCCCGCUGCUGGAGCUGCGCGCUAACGGGCUGCUGCCAACCUAAGUGCAGCGCCCCGCGCCUGGCUCCAGGUGGACUCCAGGGCACCGGCUUUAUUUCUGGUGCACUCCUCUCCUGAGAGUGUAGACCAAGGUCGCCUAAUAAACUCCUCAAGGGAUGAAGCUCGUGGGUUCGUCGUCUGUCUCCCAUGUCAUGUAGGAGCUUGACUGGCUUUUCAGCCUCCAAAGAUUCCUUCCUUUCUUACAGCUCAUGGAUUUAGAUCCACUCCCCAGUAUUGUAAACAGCAUUUUUAGUUUUUCAGGAUACAUAAUUUGCCAUAUUGCCAGAAACUUGUACAUAGCAUUUGA
RNAcentral lists this long non-coding RNA (1056 nucleotides) under Homo sapiens (human). Its description in RNAcentral is "non-protein coding lnc-SERPIND1-1:42". The record is from RNAcentral. Lineage: Eukaryota; Metazoa; Chordata; Mammalia; Primates; Hominidae.